Equus caballus (horse) is the source of this 1567-nucleotide long non-coding RNA. The record is from Ensembl. NCBI's taxonomy places the organism in Eukaryota, Metazoa, Chordata, Mammalia, Perissodactyla, Equidae.
AUCGGACACAGACAAAGGAGGACAUUAUGACCUAGCACGGCCCCUCCAAACAGAGAUGUAAAGAAGAGCAGUGAAAGGGUGAUAAGACUGAAGAAACGAUGAUCCCUCCUCACCAGCGCUCUACCUGGAAAAACCCACCAACCUCAGUGGCCUCCACUCCCAAGCUGCCUCCCACCUCAGGAAGCCUCUCUCCACCCGGGUUCAGAAACCACCUCCAGACAGAGGACAGGGGCGUGCAGAGCCCAUCUUGGCUUUUCCUUCUCUCUGGGACCACAGGCCCGUGCAGCCUGGUGUUGAACAUUUGAAAACAGCUGUUUCAUGUACUGUGUCCAACUUCACAGCACACAAAGCAGCAGCACUAGAAGUUGAUGGUCUUUGGGGAACACGUUUUACAAACAAAUGGAAUUGAUCACUGUGAGUCGGUCAGUGAAUAUCUGCAAGGUACAAACCAACAAACUGUUUUGACAUGUGGUCACGGGCAUGUGUAGACACAAGCAGCUGUUGGCUCCCCUCUGGCUAAGUGACUCCACCUUGUGGAAUAGACUCUGAGGCCGCAGGACUCAAAUACAGCCUCAGGAGCAUUAUAACAUGUGCUGCGCCCUCGCGGUUACUCAUGAGGCAUGAAACCAUGAACGCUGAAUACUGAAAUUCCACAACAGUACAUCCUGCUUGUCACUUAAUAUUUUAUCCUAAGCAUUUCCCUAAGUCAUUAUAGUCGUUAAAUAGUUGCCUGGCAACUUAGUGAAUGGCUUUAACAUCUCUCAUUAUGUGGAUAUGCCAUGUGUUAGCCAUUCCCCUACUCUUGGGACAUUUCAGUUGCUUAAUGCCUUCUAAUUCAGCUUCCCCAUGUGCAAAAAUAGGGCUAAGAGCAGAAAUGUUCUGCCUCUGUCCGCUCUGAAACAUGAGGUGCAGACAUUCCAAGGCGGGCUUUAAAGAAAGCUCGGCGUACUGGAGGGCCAGCUUCCAGGCUGUCAGGACAUGUUGGAGCUCACCAAAUAGUGCACCCUCCCCUCUGCAAAGUACACAGAUACUCACGUCUAAAUAAGUUGUAAAUUGGGUUCCUUAUUAGAUUAACCCAUUGAGGGAAAAAGGAAACAGGUGGUCGGACAGAAUCAAGAAUAGAGGCGUGGGGGGACAUGAGGCAAGAUCCGAGGAGCACCCCCGGCCCCAGCAGGGGAUGUAGCAGCAACAGGCACCCUCACCAGGCCCCGUAGAAAGGACUUCGAGUGGCUGCCCAGCAGUGCAGGAGGAGGGCCAGCGAACGGGGGCUGCGAAGCCUGGUCAUACACGAUCUCCGUCCAGAUUCGUGAACUUGGCAAAGGACCUUCUCUUUGUGCAGUAAGGGGGUUGGGUUCUCAAGUGCCCUUCCAGGUCUGGCACUUCCCGCAUAGCUGAUUGACUCCUGCUGUGGGCUCCCCCAGCAAUCACAUAUUGCCUCUGUCCUAAAGGACCUGAAGAAUAAUUAAAAACAGUUUGAUGAGUUCAGUUGAGAUAUAGAAAUCCAAGAUUCAAAGCCACAUGUAUUUUCUUGAAAGAUGAUGAAUAAUAUUCCCUUCUGGAUGAAUCU